Molecule: ribosomal RNA, 496 nt
Filed under: uncultured bacterium
Lineage: Bacteria
Description: partial 16S ribosomal RNA
Rfam family: Bacterial small subunit ribosomal RNA
Source: RNAcentral
AUGAACGCUGGCGGCGUGCCUAAUACAUGCAAGUCGAGCGCACAGACGAGGAGCUUGCUCCUCUGACGUUAGCGGCGGACGGGUGAGUAACACGUGGCUAACCUACCUAUAAGACUGGGAUAACUUCGGGAAACCGGAGCUAAUACCGGAUAAUAUAUUGAACCGCAUGGUUCAAUAGUGAAAGACGGUUUUGCUGUCACUUAUAGAUGGAUCCGCGCCGCAUUAGCUAGUUGGUAAGGUAACGGCUUACCAAGGCGACGAUGCGUAGCCGACCUGAGAGGGUGAUCGGCCACACUGGAACUGAGACACGGUCCAGACUCCUACGGGAGGCAGCAGUAGGGAAUCUUCCGCAAUGGGCGAAAGCCUGACGGAGCAACGCCGCGUGAGUGAUGAAGGUCUUCGGAUCGUAAAACUCUGUUAUUAGGGAAGAACAAAUGUGUAAGUAACUAUGCACGUCUUGACGGUACCUAAUCAGAAAGCCACGGCUAACUACGUG